CCUACGGGCGGCAGCAGUGGGGAAUAUUGCACAAUGGGGGAAAGCCUGAUGCAGCGACGCCGCGUGAGGGAUGAAGGUCUUCGGGAUGUAAAGCUCUAUCAGCAGGGAAGAAAAUGACGGGACCUGACUAAGAAGCCCCGGCUAACUCCGGGCCAGCAGCCGCGGUAAUACGCCGGGGGCGAGCGUGAUGCGGAUUUACUGGGUGUAAAGGGAGCGUAGACGGCAGUGCAAGCCAGAUGUGAAAGCCCGGGGCUCAACCCCGGGACUGCCUUUGGAACUGUUCUUCUAGAGUGUCGGAGAGGCAGGCGGAAUUCCUGGUGUAGCGGUGAAAUGCGUAGAUAUCAGGAGGAACACCAGUGGCGAAGGCGGCCUGCUGGACCAUAACUGACGUUGAGGCUCGAAAGCGUGGGUAGCAAACAGGAUUAGAUACCCGUGUAGUC
RNAcentral lists this ribosomal RNA (440 nucleotides) under uncultured bacterium. RNAcentral's name for it is "partial 16S ribosomal RNA". It matches the Rfam family "Bacterial small subunit ribosomal RNA", at positions 338 to 795 of the family's 1533-position model. The record is from RNAcentral.